GACAGAGGGUGCAAACGUUUGUUCGGAAUUACUGGGCGUAAAGCGAGUGUAGGCGGUUCGAUAAGUCGGAUGUGAAAGCCCCGGGCUCAACCCGGGAAGUGCACUCGAUACUGUCGAGCUAGAGUAUCGGAGAGGUUGGUGGAAUUCUCGGUGUAGAGGUGAAAUUCGUAGAUAUCGAGAGGAACACCGGUGGCGAAGGCGGCCAACUGGACGAAUACUGACGCUGAGACUCGAAAGCGUGGGGAGCGAACAGG
Molecule: ribosomal RNA, 254 nt
Filed under: uncultured bacterium
Lineage: Bacteria
Description: partial 16S ribosomal RNA
Rfam family: Bacterial small subunit ribosomal RNA
Source: RNAcentral